UGGGGAAUUUUGGACAAUGGGCGAAAGCCUGAUCCAGCAAUGCCGCGUGCAGGAUGAAGGCCCUCGGGUUGUAAACUGCUUUUGUACGGAACGAAAAGCCUGGGGCUAAUACCCCCGGGUCAUGACGGUACCGUAAGAAUAAGCACCGGCUAACUACGUGCCAGCAGCCGCGGUAAUACGUAGGGUGCAAGCGCUAAUCGGAAUUACUGGGCGUAAAGCGUGCGCAGGCGGUUUUGUAAGACAGUGGUGAAAUCCCCGGGCUCAACCUGGGAACUGCCAUUGUGACUGCGGAGCUUGAGUACGGCAGAGGGGGAUGGAAUUCCGCGUGUAGCAGUGAAAUGCGUAGAUAUGCGGAGAAACACCGAUGGCGAAAGCCAUCCCCUGGGCCUGCACUGACGCUCAUGCACGAAAGCGUGGGGAGCAAACA
This 427-nucleotide ribosomal RNA is filed under the name uncultured bacterium. Its description in RNAcentral is "bacterial SSU rRNA". It matches the Rfam family "Bacterial small subunit ribosomal RNA", at positions 355 to 774 of the family's 1533-position model. The record is from RNAcentral.